CAAAACACUCCCAAACCCUCUCUAGAGUUCUCAUAUGAUCCAAGGCCAAACUCAAAGGCUACCAAGUGAAUCUAACCCCAAGAAUCUUUUGGUGCUAGCUAAGAGUAGCUCUAGUGCACCGUGGUGACGUUGAAGGUUGUUCUAAGUGAGAGUAAAUUCAUGUUUCGAUCUGAUCUUGGUGAUUGAGGUAAGAUAUUUCUUCCUCCAUAUUUUAUUGUUCUUGUAAAAUCCAUGGCUAAGUUAUAAGUUCGAAAACCCAUGAGGUAAAGCCCGUAAAUUGUAGUUAUGUUUGGUUAUCGAGUAUGUGACUAUUUUGAAGAUGCUUUAAGGUAUGUUGUGGCUGGAAAAUUGGUGCAGUAACUUAUGUAGGUUGUUGUUGCUGAUAUGGGAAUAUUUUUGAAGAAAGAAAAUAGCUUAAAAUUAUAAUUUGUUAAUCGUAAAAUCGAGCUGGCCGCUCGCUAUGAUUGUUGAAUUGUUUAAAGAGCUUGAUGAGAAUGUUAUUGUUGUUGAGCCGUUCGUUUGAAACCAUAUUAUGAUAUUGAAUUGAUGUAUAUUGGUAGUUAAUGAAUAAGUAAAAUUAGAAGAUAAAUUAGAGUUGAAAGGUUAUCUUGUUAUUAAGUUACCAUUGUUAAAGACUAUGGAAGUUCUACGCACGCAAAGUAUUCGAUGAUAUAUCUAAAUGAAAUGACUAAUAGUUUAUUGAGUUGCUAUUGAUCCAAAUCAUUUGUAUAAUGUAGAUUGUCGUUCAUUAAGCAUUCGAUGACUUAUGAGCUAUCGACACAAAGUAUGUAAGGCUACUUUCUUUCUUGGCAUGACUUGAUUAAAAUAUUCCAUUUGAAAUAAUCUUUAUAUGUACGGUCUUGCAUUGCGGUCGGUCUUGCAUUGAACUUAUAUAUGUACCUACUUUACUUUAUCGAGCCACGCUAUAGUCGGCCGGGUACGACACCUAUUGUGAAACUACUGGUUAGUUGGGUAUUACCGAGCCCUUUGUGGUUGGGUACGACCGAGUCCUAUUAAGGUGGGGUACGAUCGAGUCCUUUUCGAGGCCAGAAACAUUAUGAUAUGAUUUGAUUUUCCCCAUAGAGCGACUUGAUACUAUAUUAUAUGGCCUCAUUUAGUGGCAUGAGUUUUACAAACAUGCAUAUAUAUCCAUGAUUAUUAUAGUGUAUGCCCUCAGAGCCUUGUUGUGAGUUUCAGAUUGACUUCUGUACUCUUUCUUUACAUUCCAUAUUUUAUUUAUAUGCAUACCUGCCUUACAUAUUCAGUACAUCUUUUGUACUAAAGACCCCUUGUUAGGGCGUUGUUUCAUGCAUGCAGAUACAGAUAGCGACUCAGAUGAUACUUCACAAUAGAUGACUCAACUCAGUUAAUAGUGCAUCGUGGUGACGUUGAAGGUUAUUCUAAGUGAGAGUAAGCUCAUGUUUCGAUUUGAACUUGGUGAUUGUAGUAAGAUAUUGCAUCCUCCAUAUUUUCUUGUGCUUGUAAAAGCCAUGUCUAAGUUAUAAGAUUGAAAACCCGUGAGGUAAAGCCCGAAAAUCGUAGUUAUGUUUGGUUAUCGAGUAUGGAACUAUUUCGAAGAUGUUUUAAGGUAUGUUGUGGCUGAGAAACUGGUGCAGUAGCUUGUGUAGGUUAUUUUUUGCUGCUAUGGACAUAUUUUUGAAGAAAGAAAAUGGAUUAAAAUUAUAGUUUGUUAAUUGUAAAACCGAGCUGGCCGCUCGUUGUGAUUGUUGAAUUGUUUAAAGAGCUUGUUCAGAAUGUUAUUGUUGUUGAGCUGCUCUUUUGAAGCCAUAUUAUGAUAUUGAAUUGCUAGAUAUUGGGAGUUAAUGAAUAAGGAAAAUAAGGAGAUAAAGUAGAGUUGAAAGGUUAUCUUGUUGUUGAGUUACCAUUGUUAAAGUCUAUGGAAAUUCUGGGCAUGAAAAAUGUUUGAUGAAAUGUCUAAAUGAAAUGAAAUAAUAGUUUAUUGAGUUGCUAUUGAUCCAAAUCAUUUGCAUGAUGCAGAUUGUCGUUCAUUAAGUGUUCGAGGACUUAUGAGCUAUCGACACAAGGUGUGUAAGGCUACUUUAUUUCUCUGCAUGACUUGAUAUAAAUAUUCUCUUUGAAAUAAUCUUCAUAUCGCAAGAUUGAAUAGUCUUAAGUCUUCCCUGACAAAGGAUUGAUCGUGUUCUUGUGUAUUUCCUUCCGAUGGCUUUCUUCCGAAUUCNNNNNNNNNNNNNNNNNNNNNNNNNUGUCUAGUAAGCUGGUAGGUAUGAUGGUUGCAUAUAUAUACAUAGUUGGGUAUGGCGGGGCUUUGUCCUUACCUUAUGAUAUUUAUGUAUUCCUUAAAGGCUUGUAAAUAUAUGUUAUAUGUAUUGAUGGUCAUGGCGGUCUUGUAGGCCCGUAUGUAUCAUGUAUAUAAGCUUGUAUAUUAUUU
This 2410-nucleotide long non-coding RNA is filed under the name Nicotiana tabacum (common tobacco). Its description in RNAcentral is "long non-coding RNA (NTAB_LNC015880)". The record is from RNAcentral. Lineage: Eukaryota; Viridiplantae; Streptophyta; Magnoliopsida; Solanales; Solanaceae.